GUUGCCUAAGAAGUGCUGUGAAUUGCUCUGCUAACUCUCUGUUCUAGAAAAUGAUUCUGGUCACAAAGCCUCACAAAAAAAAUAAUUUGCAUCAAGUGAUGAAGAAGAGAGCUUGGAGGCAUUCAAUUACCUGCGGUGGUUACCAUUUGGUUCACCACGGCCUUGCCACCCAGAAAGCUGGCAAAAAGAUGUCAUGUGAUUAUAACUAACCUCCAGUGAACCAAAGGAUGGCUAAUUCCUUGUGUCUAAGAGCACCAUUGAUCCCUUUCCAAUGAAUGAUCUUUACAUUCAACAAAAAAACAAGCACUUUCUACAGGAAAGAGGUCAUUUGCAAAAAGUCUGGACAUGAAAGACUUGGAGACACAAUAUAAAGUUUUUUUCCAUGUUAAAAUAUGAAGGAACCCGCUUAGAAUAUUAAAAUAUCUACACAUCUAUCUAUUCCUACAUCCCAGAAAGAUCAUGAUAUAUCACAAUGA
Long non-coding RNA from Pseudophryne corroboree (corroboree frog), 476 nucleotides. RefSeq lists it as uncharacterized. The transcript is spliced from 3 exons. The record is from RefSeq and is a predicted model, not a curated record. Lineage: Eukaryota; Metazoa; Chordata; Amphibia; Anura; Myobatrachidae.